This is a long non-coding RNA of Alligator mississippiensis (American alligator), 3632 nucleotides long. RefSeq lists it as uncharacterized. The transcript is spliced from 3 exons. The record is from RefSeq and is a predicted model, not a curated record. Lineage: Eukaryota; Metazoa; Chordata; Crocodylia; Alligatoridae.
AUUAGCUUCUUUCCUACCUUGGAGAACUCAUAACACGAGCAGAGUCUGUCUGACUAAGGGUGUUUGUGCCCAAAAGCUUGCAAAGAACUUUUUUCCAACUAUUUAGUUGGUCUAAUAAAAGAUAGCACAUUUACUCAAAGAACCUUGCCUGCCUAAGAGGACUUGGACUGCAACUGAUGCCAAAUAUGGUUCUAUAGUGUGAAUAACGUGUUUACUUUUUUCUGCUUACAGUUUUAACUGUUAGAGAUGGACCCAGCCUACAAUCCUGCAUCUCACCUGAAGUCAACCCUUUUUACCUCAUCUGGACCCAGACUCGCCGACAAUGAGAUUUGGAAGAUUCAGAUGGUAACUGCAACUUUUUGUGUAACAGAGAACAUCUAGUCCAGCAUAGCUCCUCCUGCUCACUUCAGAAGAAGCUGGCUUUUAGGAGAGCUGUUACCUUUGUGCAUGUGAGUUCCUGUCCAAGUCAAGUCUGUUGUCACGUAUAUUCAUGAUAUAAUUAAAUCAGCCAUCAGAUGAGGACCUUCUGGUGGGCAAGCCAGUGGUGAUCUCAUUGAGGUAUAAAGUUACUCUUGGCUAGUCUCAGGAUUUCCCAGACAUACCUAAAUAGUCAAGUCCCCUUAUCUGGCAUAUUUCACAAACAGCCUGCAGAUGCUUGCAGUGAAUCAGUGUAAUGUUAUUUAAUGAAGAGAUGUUCGUAGCAAGGAAAAUACUUUGGUGAGUCGAACCCAGAAGGUUGCACGCUCCUGCUCAGUAAGGCAAGAAGAGAUCUAAAGGUAUAGAUAGCUAUAACUUCUGAUAAGUUCACUUCUGGGCCUUUUUCUUAGAAAAUUAGAUAUAUGCUGGCAACGUGAAAUGGUAGCGAAAAGACAAUUGGUUGUGGUCUUGUAAGUCAAAAUAGCCAAAGGCAAAGAGAUCAUUUUUCCUUUAAUCAGCUGUGGAAUGUCGAGCAUACGUUGGGACACCGACCCAGAAGAAUGCAUACUUGGAACUUCGAAAGAGUGCCUGUGUGCCUGGAAAGGACCAUACAUCAUACAAAACACAGAGAACUGAACACACAUUAUUUGGCUAAAUAAUGACUCAGGGGAUGACAGAGAUACCAGAACUGUUUAAAAACAUUUGCAAAACCUGCAAAGAAAACUACUUUACAAUGGUAAGCAACUAAACAAAGUCAAGCAUCUAUUGUAUAGGAGGAGAAUAAGUGAGACCCACUAGGUUCUGGAAUGAUUUUCCAAAGCAAAUGGCAUCCCAUGUUUGACCAAGCACUCGUGAAUGUGUUGGAGAAAACAUUCCAGUAUUAACAGCGAGUUGGGAAAGAUGAUCUACUAGGUUUUUUCUGUCUCUAGUUCCUAUGAUCUUCAAAAUACCACCUUCACUCCGCUGCAUGGUUUCCUGAAUCUGCUUGUGCUAAUGGGAAGAGGUUUGCAUUCUAUAUGAAAUGCAGGGCAGUCAUAUCACAAACUUGGCUUAAGCUUAGUUUCUCCUCCCGCCCCCGAGUAUUUUUUUCUCCACCGUUCAGAUCUGGAAAGUAGCAAGCUGACGGAGCUCGGGGUUGUUUUUUUAAAAUGUUGUGAUUCUUUCUUUUUAGAAUCCGUGCCCUAGUGCUUCUGGGAAACUCGUGACCUCUACAUUUUUAAUUAGAAGUUGUAAUUUUCCCAUGGCAACCUAUUUUGAUGUCACAAAUACAGAACCUGUGAAAUCAAACAGCUUCCAAUGAAAAGGCAUCUACCAAAAAAAAGAUGGAUCUGCAGAUAGAUGGUGGCAGGGUACUCAGUGACCUGCAGCGCAGGGGAGAAAAAGUUAACUGUUUCUCUUUUCAUACAUCUUCACGAGGCUCUAAUGAUGAGAUGGACAACCAUCUCAUCUUCCUGGGCAAAACUAAAGCUAGGUUUGAAUGGGAUUGGUCGGAGGAAGACACGGGUUAGGAACUGACAUUUCCGAACCCGCUCAUCACUGCCUGCCACAAUGACUUCACUCACCCUUCCUGAUAUUGCUGGGAAAGUUAUAAACAACGUUUCUCUCUCUUGUAUGGAGAAGUGUUAAGAACCAAAUAUUGUAUUUUCAAUUACCGUGUCCUAUUCUCACCCUCAACAAAGGUUGAGCACAGCUCUCUCCAAGCUGCUGGCGAAAGAUAGAUCAUUGUUGCCGUUGCAGGUUACUGGUAAUGCAGCAUUACAGGGGCACCUCAAGGAAGGAAAAGUGACUAUCGAUUCAGGACUAUCGUCUUUCCCCGAGCUCUUUUCUGGUUAGGACUAACCAUGGCACUGCCUCGUUUGAGUUUCCAUUGCCCGCAAUCAACCCGCUGGCACCACUGGAAUGCUAGCCGACACCUGCCGUAUUCGCCGUUCUGGUCGGGGGCCUGACCACAGCUCCCGGGAGCCGUCACCACAGUCAGCAUCAUCCCUCACGUUACAUAGCAGCUACUCAGGAACCAUGUUGUCUGCUCUUAUUGCUGGAUUAGAAGAGAACAGUUUAUAUACACUGGUGAAGGAUAAGUGAAUGCCAUUAAUAGGAUAUGCAGACCAUGGUUUCUCACUCUCUCAGGAUACAUUCACGUUUCCAGGCAUUAUUGCAAAUCAACCAAAAAUAGUUUUCACCUCAACAAUCAGAAAGACGGCAAUGCAUGUGCCCAAGCUGUGCACAGGCACAAAAAUCAAGGCUGUAGCUUCAUGCUUCCACUGUUCGAGGGAAGCAUGGGCCCCUUUAAGGAGUCACGGAGAGGAGGAGCAGAAUGGGCCUGCAUUAUGGGAUAACUUCCAACCUGACCAAAAAGACAGUGCUCUCUUGUGAAGCACAAGUUGACAUAUUAUAAAUGCAGUGGUGCACAGCCAAAGGCAAAGUUUCUCAAUCUUUUUCACUUGGCAAUCCUUUAUUCAAUGUCAAAAUGUUUUUAUAGCUGCUAUUACAUUUAUAGUAAAAAUAAGAAGAAAAACAUACUGGCAUUACGUUGCUGUGACUGAUGUGUGCGCGUUUCAAGAGCCUGACCAAGAAUAUUUGACCUUGAAGGGUAAGAGGGUGAGAGUGUUGGGAAGCAACAUUUUCUUUGCUUCUUUUACUGUCAUGCAAUUUUUAAAGACUCACAAAUCACAGUUUGCCUUUCAUGACCUCUUUAGGAACUACAGCCCAGCAGUUGAAAAAGGCUUGAAAAAAAUGCUAAUAUCCUGUUUGUAUGGACCGUAUAGCUAAAUGAGAUACUGGUGCACAUCAUCAGAGGAGAGAAUGGAAACGGUCUGGUGAGAGCCAGGCUGUAAGAGCUGUUGUCCUGCUCCUGCAGCUUAGUCACUGAACCCUGCUUUGCCUCCUACUCAUUCUAAAUAGAGGAGGACAGUGCUAAUUCCUCUGUUAUUUAGAAGGACUAGCUGCAAAACAGUUCAAAGGAUGUCAGAAGAGCCAGCUUUUGACUUAUUAAAAACCCUGUGGUCUGAUAAGAUCUUCACAGAUUAUGUGUGUCCGAAAUCAUUAUCCAGAAUGAACAACUUACAUACUUCAUUCCGAAUGGUGUGAGAAUCAAUUAGCCCUCAUAUAGGAAAGGGUGUGUUUGGUUUCUCUGGUAGGUACUGCAAUGGAAACAAACAAACACGAUCCCAGAUGCAACAACAUCCCACAGUAUUUCAUUAGGAAUCUACUGAAAA